This 256-nucleotide ribosomal RNA is filed under the name uncultured bacterium. Its description in RNAcentral is "partial 16S ribosomal RNA". It matches the Rfam family "Bacterial small subunit ribosomal RNA", at positions 524 to 777 of the family's 1533-position model. The record is from RNAcentral.
UACGGGGGGGGGCAAGCGUUGUUCGGAAUUACUGGGCGUAAAGGGCUCGUAGGUGGCCAACUAAGUCAGACGUGAAAUCCCUCGGCUUAACCGGGGGAACUGCGUCUGAUACUGGAUGGCUUGAGUUUGGGAGAGGGACGCGGAAUUCCAGGUGUAGCGGUGAAAUGCGUAGAUAUCUGGAGGAACACCGGUGGCGAAGGCGGCGUCCUGGACCAACACUGACACUGAGGAGCGAAAGCCAGGGGAGCAAAGCGGG